RNAcentral lists this ribosomal RNA (199 nucleotides) under uncultured bacterium. Its description in RNAcentral is "partial 16S ribosomal RNA". It matches the Rfam family "Bacterial small subunit ribosomal RNA", at positions 1294 to 1500 of the family's 1533-position model. The record is from RNAcentral.
CGGAUCGGAGUCUGNAACCCGACUCCGUGAAGCUGGAUUCGCUAGUAAUCGCGCAUCAGCCAUGGCGCGGUGAAUACGUUCCCGGGCCUUGUACACACCGCCCGUCAAGCCAUGGGAGCCGGGGGUGCUUGAAGUGCGUCGCCGCAAGGCGCGCCCUAGAGCAAAACCGGUGACUGGGGCUAAGUCGUAACAAGGUAGC